GCGGUCGUCGUCUAGCUGGUUAGGACGCCAGCUCCCCAAGCUGGCGAUCCCGGGUUCAAAUCCCGGCGGCCGCA
Molecule: transfer RNA, 74 nt
Filed under: Thermoprotei archaeon
Lineage: Archaea; Thermoproteati; Thermoproteota; Thermoprotei
Also listed under: 4 other names
Description: tRNA-Gly
Rfam family: tRNA
About the family: Transfer RNA (tRNA) molecules are approximately 80 nucleotides in length. Their secondary structure includes four short double-helical elements and three loops (D, anti-codon, and T loops).
Source: RNAcentral